UUGAACGCUGGCGGCAUGCUUUACACAUGCAAGUCGAACGGCAGCGGGCCCUUCGGGGUGCCGGCGAGUGGCGAACGGGUGAGUAAUACAUCGGAACGUGUCCUAUAGUGGGGGAUAACCCAGCGAAAGUUGGGCUAAUACCGCAUACGUCCUACGGGAGAAAGCGGGGGAUCGCAAGACCUCGCGCUAGUGGAGCGGCCGAUGUCGGAUUAGCUAGUUGGUGGGGUAAAGGCCUACCAAGGCGACGAUCCGUAGCUGGUCUGAGAGGAUGAUCAGCCACACUGGGACUGAGACACGGCCCAGACUCCUACGGGAGGCAGCAGUGGGGAAUUUUGGACAAUGGGCGCAAGCCUGAUCCAGCCAUGCCGCGUGAGUGAAGAAGGCCUUCGGGUUGUAAAGCUCUUUCAGACGGAAAGAAAUCGGGCGCGUGAAUAGCGUGCCUGGAUGACGGUACUGUCAGAAGAAGCACCGGCUAACUACG
This 481-nucleotide ribosomal RNA is filed under the name uncultured bacterium. RNAcentral describes it as "bacterial SSU rRNA". It matches the Rfam family "Bacterial small subunit ribosomal RNA", at positions 29 to 505 of the family's 1533-position model. The record is from RNAcentral.